CGAACAGGAGAAAAGUGGUCCCUCCCUCAUUCCCUCGUGGAGUCCACGGUCCCCAGAGGAAGAGAGAUGUGGUACUAAGAAAGCCCAGGAUGGAGAACCUGCCCUGGUCAGAGACCAGACCCUGGCCCUCUCCCCACUGGGGCCCCACCUUGGAAAGCAUCUCAUCCGCCUGGGCCUUCACCUGCCGCUCCAGAUCCCGCACUUUCCUCGCCAUGGCGGCCAUCAACUCCGAGUCGUGGUACACAGGGACUGCCAACCAGACAAAGUCCUAGAGCCCGGGCCUUGAGCUGAGGCUGAGGAAAUACGGUGGAUAGAGGAGCAAGUUAAACCCCACCGGACAGAUCACUACAGGGGACAUCCUGCGGGACAAGUAGCCUGGACUCUUCAAAAAGUGUCAUUUUUUAAAAUAGGCAGGGAUUCUGCUCUAAACAAGGAUAACAAUCAAAUGCAGUGCAGGACCCUCAAUUAGAACCUAAAUCUGGGGGGGCGGGGAAAGCUAUGAGAGAUAUUUUGGAACACUGGGAUGUUAGAGAGAGUUACUGAAUUGUUCAUAUUCUUAGGUGUGAUCACGGCAUCGUGGUUACAUACUUCCUUACUCCUAGAAGAUGCAAAGGGAAGUAUUUAGAGCUGAAAUGUCAUGAUAUCUGCAACUGAUUUCUAAAUGGCUCAUCCAAAAAAUACACUUGUGUUCAUAACAUAUGUGUAUAUGGAUAGAAAGCAAAUAUGGCAAGAUGUCACUAACUGUUGAAUCUAGGCUGAGGAUGUAUGGGUGUUUGCUGUACCAUUAUUUCAACUUUUCUGUUUGCUGACAAAUUUUCAAGUUUAAACAUUUGUGAAAGAAAACAAGAGAGAGACAUGGGAAGAAACAGGGCCCCUUCUUCCCCUGGAUGUUGUCUCUCUCUGUGUGAAGCCGGAAAUGUAGCUGUAACCACGCGACCAUGUGGAGCUGACAGGCCCAAGGAUGGUUCAGUGGAAAGGUGGAGAAACCUGAGCUUCUGACAAGGUCUUUGAGCUGUCUCCCUAGGACUUCUUGGUAU
This is a long non-coding RNA of Balaenoptera ricei (Rice's whale), 1037 nucleotides long. RefSeq lists it as uncharacterized. The transcript has 3 exons. NCBI's taxonomy places the organism in Eukaryota, Metazoa, Chordata, Mammalia, Artiodactyla, Balaenopteridae. The record is from RefSeq and is a predicted model, not a curated record.